RNAcentral lists this ribosomal RNA (243 nucleotides) under uncultured bacterium. RNAcentral's name for it is "partial 16S ribosomal RNA". The record is from RNAcentral.
CUGCUGCCUCCCGUAGGAGUCUGGGCCGUGUCUCAGUUCCAGUCUGGAUGAUCAUCCUCUCAAACCAUCUAACGAUCGUCGACUUGGUGAGCCUUUACCUCACCAACUAUCUAAUCGUACGCAGGCCAUUCCUAAAGCGCAUAAAUGCUUUAAUCCGAAGAUCAUAUGCGGUAUUAGCCACUCUUUCGAGUAGUUAUCCCUCACUUUAGGGUAUGUUCCCACGCGUUACUCAGCCGUCCGCCG